Brassica oleracea var. oleracea is the source of this 437-nucleotide long non-coding RNA. RefSeq lists it as uncharacterized. The record is from RefSeq and is a predicted model, not a curated record. The transcript has 2 exons. NCBI's taxonomy places the organism in Eukaryota, Viridiplantae, Streptophyta, Magnoliopsida, Brassicales, Brassicaceae.
AACCAAAAAAAUUUAUAUUUUUAAUAGUUUUUUCUUUUUCUCCUUAUCCUAUUUUCAUUAUCGUCAAUGUUUACCAUCUCUUUCUUUUGCCUCCUCAACUCUUCAUCAACAAUCAACAUGUUUUUAGUUGUUCCUCUCUCUGUCUACUUAUUGAUAAUUCUUCUCUAGUGACCAUUUUCUUAUUUGAGAACCACAAAAUUAUGGUGAGAGUGAAUCUUUGGGAUGCUAGAAGGUGGCAGCGAAAGUUUGAGUCUAAGCAGAUGGUGAGAGUGAAUCUUGAGAUUCAAAAGAAGAGGAACACAUAAGUAAAGACAAUCGUGAAGGUUGCAUAGUAUAUAUUCUAAUAUAUUUUAGAAGAUACAUGUAAUGUUAGCAGAUAACAAUAUUCUUAUAAUGUAUAUGUCAACAAAGUAAACUUCAAGAUAAAUUAAUUUCAA